This 468-nucleotide ribosomal RNA is filed under the name uncultured bacterium. Its description in RNAcentral is "partial 16S ribosomal RNA". It matches the Rfam family "Bacterial small subunit ribosomal RNA", at positions 28 to 507 of the family's 1533-position model. The record is from RNAcentral.
GACGAACGCUGGCGGCGUGCUUAACACAUGCAAGUCGAACGGAAAGGCCCUGCUUUUGUGGGGUGCUCGAGUGGCGAACGGGUGAGUAACACGUGAGUAACCUGCCCUUGACUUUGGGAUAACUUCAGGAAACUGGGGCUACUACCGGAUAGGAGCUCCUGCUGCAUGGUGGGGGUUGGAACGUUUCGGCGGUUGGGGAUGGACUCGCGGCUUAUCAGCUUGUUGGUGGGGUAGUGGCUUACCAAGGCUUUGACGGGUAGCCGGCCUGAGAGGGUGACCGGCCACAUUGGGACUGAGAUACGGCGCAGACUCCUACGGGAGGCAGAAGUGGGGAAUAUUGCACAAUGGGCGGAAGCCUGAUGCAGCAACGCCGCGUGCGGGAUGACGGCCUUCGGGUUGUAAACCGCUUUCGCCUGUGACGAAGCGUGAGUGACGGUAAUGGGUAAAGAAGCACCGGCUAACUACGUG